CAUAAUGAAACGGGCAAAUGAGAUAUAGCAGAAGGAAGGAGGGAGAAUAGAAGGAAGGAAGGACCCCCCUAGGAUUCCUUUGUGGAUCAAAGGCAAAGAAAGAAGGGCUUCUGAAGGCCUGGCACAGCUACAAGGAUUCUCCUGACAGUAUGGCACAUCUGUCUAGCACGUUUCGGGGAAGCCUUUCCCAACGGUGUCAUGAGGCUGGCAGGGUGGGCAUUCUGUCCAUCAGCGAGGAGCAGAUGGAGAGCCAAAGAGGAUGAGUGAAUUGCCGACGCGCACGCCUGGUUCAGGAUCAGCAUCCAGGUCUCCUCAUUAAGUCCAAUGAGCUUUCAGCUCUGUCAUGCUGCCUCUUCUUCCCCAGAGGGCUUGGGAAACAUAAGCAACUGCCUACAGGAAAUAUGCUUCACCUUCCUCACAGACACGGCGUUCCAGAACCAGACUCCAUGGAAACAGAACACAGAGGGUGUGUACAUGCAUGUCUUCUAGACCCACUCCAGUUCUCAUCAGAAGCUGAUGAGCCACCCCACAGUUCACGGCGGGUCAAACCUAAUCCGUAUCCUCUUCAAAAUAGGCCAGAAAAAUGGAAUCACUGGAUAUCAGAAGAGAAAGGGAACCACAGAGUCUUGCUAGUCUAAUGCCUUUAUUUUAAGGAUGAAGAAAUAGCCUUUUGUUUUGUUUUUCAGAUUUAUUGAGAUAUAAUGUACAAAGUGGUAAGAUACUUAAAGUUACAACAUGAUUUUGAAACAACCUUGCCUUGUGAAAGGACUCCCCCAUCAUGUUAAUUACCCUGAUAAUCACUUCACAUAUUUACCUUUGUGUGUGUAUGUUUGAGAAUAUUUAAGUUCUACUCUCUCAGCAAAUUUCAAUUAUACAAAUACAGUGUUAUCAACUA
This 895-nucleotide long non-coding RNA is filed under the name Sus scrofa (pig). RNAcentral's name for it is "lncRNA (ENSSSCG00050044530.1)". Lineage: Eukaryota; Metazoa; Chordata; Mammalia; Artiodactyla; Suidae. The record is from RNAcentral.